GUCCGAUGCGUUUCUGGUUCUGCACCUGUUGCGUUCUAUCUUCUCCGAUGCUUCCUAUCUUCUUCAGAUGAUCAAAAAAUCGAAAGGCGCUAGACGACGAGAUCGACGACACCCCGGGAGGCAAGUGAUUCCUACCAGACGUCCGACCGCCCUUCGCACCUUUACAACCACUUUUUGUAUGUGAGGCUAGUGUUUUGAGAAGUUACGAAGAUGAUCGAGGGUGCGAAAGAUAAGGUACCGAAGGAGAGAGAAACGAGAAAAUGAGGGAAAAUGAGUGAAAUUGAGCGAAUUGGAGAAAAGAUGAUAUCUUCGGUUUCAAAUCUAACUCGAAAACUUUCGAACAAUGUACACAGGGGACUCUUGAACUGCAAACGACCAUCAGAGCAUCAGAUACAUAACAUAAACAAUUAUUUUCAAUUCCAAUUUCAAUUGUAUUCAAACUUCAGUCCCUGGAAACUAUUUCUCUAAAUCGACUAUAUGAAUUAGGUUUAACGAAGAAAUAAUAAAUUGUCAAAACAC
This is a non-coding RNA of Caenorhabditis elegans, 519 nucleotides long. Ensembl annotates it as ncRNA. Its record names the gene anr-25. NCBI's taxonomy places the organism in Eukaryota, Metazoa, Nematoda, Chromadorea, Rhabditida, Rhabditidae. The record is from Ensembl.